This is a long non-coding RNA of Poecilia latipinna (sailfin molly), 1166 nucleotides long. RefSeq lists it as uncharacterized. The record is from RefSeq and is a predicted model, not a curated record. Lineage: Eukaryota; Metazoa; Chordata; Actinopteri; Cyprinodontiformes; Poeciliidae. The transcript has 2 exons.
GGACCUGCUGCCCGUAUUAAUAUUCAGCCCUUCAGCCAAUCAGCCGAGCUGGGUGGAUGACAUCACGGGCUAGGGAACAGCGAACAGCCAGUGAAGCAUCCAGCCUGCCGAACAAGCUUUGCUUUUAGGGUCAGGAACUGGUCUGACAAGAGAAUGGCAGUCCUGCCUUUAAACCGUCACUAGGACUGUACGGCUGACGAUGAAUCCAGCGGGACUCCAGGCCCAAAGGCGAGACACCGAGCAGGAGAAUGUGAAGACAUAUUUCAGUGGUUGUGUCCUGGCCGCCGGCGUGCAGGGAGUGGGAGAUUCCUCUCGCAGGAAGCGCAGUCAUCCUGAGCAGGAGCAGGGCCUGAUGGGAGACCUGUUGUCUGGUGUGAGGAGAAUAUUAGGGAGUCAUGUCAGCGACUGAGGGAGCGCCAGAUGAUCAUAGAGGGGAAUUGGGGGAUGGGUUAGUGAAGGUGCUGCUCUCUUUGAACAUUGAUCUCCCUUACACUUCUCUCCCAGAGACUUUGCCCUCUAAGCAUAAUUUCUCCUGCUUAAUACUCGUCAUUUAUAUAAAGUAGAAGCAACCCAUUUGCAUACUCUGUACAGAAAUACAUUUAGCCAUAUUUUUCUCACUUGUAUCAGACUGAACUUUACUUAUUUUCCAUCAGUGGGGAUUACCAAAAUGGUUAAUAUUUACUAAAUCCCAGAUUACUGAGAAACUUUAAGCAUUUUGUGAGUGGCCAUGUGAGGAUUUCACAGCUUUGUAAAUGUUUGAGUUAAAUGGAUGCAAAUCUGUGGAUGUAUUUGAAGGCAACACCUCAAACACUGCUUCCUCAUCUGACAUCAUGGAAAAAUCAGAGAAAAUAAAGCAAGUAAUGAGGAAGAGAGUUUUGAACCUCCGCAUGUUGGACACAGUGAUCUGUUCAGCCAUCAGACUGUCCUGUGUCAUAGAAAUAAAAGUGUUUUGGUUUGAAAUGUGUGUUUUAGCCCCAGGGCUGUCACAAUAACACAUUUUCCUGGACGAUAAAUUGCCCCCCGAAGUUAUUGCAAAAAACGAUGAUGUUGUUGUGCUUAGACCAUUUUCAAGUUAUAAUAAUGCGAGAACACAUUCUUACAGAUCAAUAAACUUUAAAUUCUGAUGAACAUUUAGCACUGGAACUGGAAGACAUUUUAAAUAUCCA